UUCUGAACAUAGGUGUUUUUUAAGCACUCCAUUUUUUAAAGACACCCCAGGUGAGGAUACACCCUCGAGUUAUGCCUGCCUCUUUCUCCUUUGCCGGGAUUUGGCUAUGGGAGAGAGGGAAGAGAGACCAGAACCACAAUCCAAGAUUCCUCUUCUUCUUCUCUUCUCAUCUUUCUAGCCUCAGCCCUACCAUGCCCUAGUGUGAACAAGGUCAUGUGUAACUCUGGUGAGAAUUUACAGACAAGAAUGUCAUUUCUCCUGGAUUCACACGGAAAACAAACCUAGGAUUGCUCCUCAUGUGAAUUUGCGAAUAGCCCAGUUUAUGACACAUCACAUUAUUAGCACAACAG
Molecule: long non-coding RNA, 350 nt
Filed under: Pan troglodytes (chimpanzee)
Lineage: Eukaryota; Metazoa; Chordata; Mammalia; Primates; Hominidae
Description: long non-coding RNA NONPTRT002036
Source: RNAcentral